UAAUACGUAGGUGGCAAGCGUUGUCCGGAUUUAUUGGGUUUAAAGGGUGCGUAGGCGGCCCUGUAAGUCAGUGCUGAAAUAUCCCGGCUUAACCGGGAGGGUGGCAUUGAUACUGCGGGGCUAGAGUACAGAUGAGGUAGGCGGAAUUGACGGUGUAGCGGUGAAAUGCUUAGAUAUCGUCAAGAACACCUAUAGCGAAGGCAGCUUACUAGGCUGUAACUGACGCUGAGGCACGAAAGUGUGGGGAUCAAACAGGAUUAGAUACCCUGGUAGUCCACACUGUAAACGUUGAUUACUCGCUGUGUGCGAUAUACAGUACGCGGCCAAGCGAAAGCGCUAAGUAAUCCACCUGGGGAGUACGCCGGCAACGGUG
RNAcentral lists this ribosomal RNA (373 nucleotides) under uncultured bacterium. Its description in RNAcentral is "bacterial SSU rRNA". It matches the Rfam family "Bacterial small subunit ribosomal RNA", at positions 521 to 896 of the family's 1533-position model. The record is from RNAcentral.